GCACUGCCUGGGAGCCUCUCUGUGCCUGCCUUGGAGCCCCGGGGUCUGGCAGUAGUGCCAGAGCACACCCUGCUUGGUCAGAUCCGGAGCUGCUUUGACACAUCUGAACAAUCCCUUUGGCGGCAAGUGACACCG
Molecule: small nucleolar RNA, 135 nt
Filed under: Ochotona princeps (American pika)
Lineage: Eukaryota; Metazoa; Chordata; Mammalia; Lagomorpha; Ochotonidae
Source: RNAcentral